RNAcentral lists this small nuclear RNA (164 nucleotides) under Microtus ochrogaster (prairie vole). RNAcentral's name for it is "U1 spliceosomal RNA (ENSMOCG00000011258.1)". It matches the Rfam family "U1 spliceosomal RNA". Rfam says of the family: U1 is a small nuclear RNA (snRNA) component of the spliceosome (involved in pre-mRNA splicing). Its 5' end forms complementary base pairs with the 5' splice junction, thus defining the 5' donor site of an intron. Lineage: Eukaryota; Metazoa; Chordata; Mammalia; Rodentia; Cricetidae. The record is from RNAcentral.
UUACUUACCUGGCAGGGAGCUACUAUGAUCAAGAAGGUGUUUUCAGAGGCAAUGCUAAGCUGUUGCACUUGGGGUGUGCGGACUUUUUUUUUUUAAUUUCCCCAAAUGCAGGAAACACAACUGCAUAAUUUGUGCAGUGGGGAUUGCAUUUAUGUUCUCCCCUA